UCCUACGGGGGGCAGCAGUGGGGAAUAUUGCACAAUGGGGGGAACCCUGAUGCAGCGACGCCGCGUGAGUGAAGAAGUAUUUCGGUAUGUAAAGCUCUGUCAGCAGGGAAGAAGAAAGACGGUACCUGACCAAGAAGCCCCGGCUAACUACGUGCCAGCAGCCGCGGUAAUACGUAGGGGGCAAGCGUUAUCCGGAUUUACUGGGUGUAAAGGGAGCGUAGACGCCAGGGCAAG
RNAcentral lists this ribosomal RNA (234 nucleotides) under uncultured bacterium. RNAcentral's name for it is "partial 16S ribosomal RNA". It matches the Rfam family "Bacterial small subunit ribosomal RNA", at positions 337 to 587 of the family's 1533-position model. The record is from RNAcentral.